This 253-nucleotide ribosomal RNA is filed under the name uncultured bacterium. RNAcentral describes it as "partial 16S ribosomal RNA". It matches the Rfam family "Bacterial small subunit ribosomal RNA", at positions 524 to 776 of the family's 1533-position model. The record is from RNAcentral.
UACAGAGGGUGCGAGCGUUAAUCGGAAUUACUGGGCGUAAAGCGUGCGUAGACGGUUAUUUAAGUCGGGUGUGAAAGCCCCGGGCUCAACCUGGGAAUUGCAUUCGAGACUGAAUAGCUAGGGUACGGUAGAGGGAAGUGGAAUUUCCGGUGUAGCGGUGAAAUGCGUAGAUAUCAGGAGGAACACCUGUGGCGAAAGCGGCUCACUGGACCACAACUGACGCUGAGGCGCGAAAGCUAGGGGAGCAAACAGG